Molecule: long non-coding RNA, 1973 nt
Filed under: Capsicum annuum
Lineage: Eukaryota; Viridiplantae; Streptophyta; Magnoliopsida; Solanales; Solanaceae
Description: long non-coding RNA (CANN_LNC016512)
Source: RNAcentral
CCUUGGCACAUUUCGCUAGCACACAAUCAGAGUAUAUAUCUCACAAAAGUCACAAGAAAGAAAUAUUAUACUAUAUCAAAAACAAAAUAUCUCAACCGUAUAAUUCGAUAUCAAUCUCGGUCUUUCAAUGUCAAGCUCCAGUUCAGGUUUCAAAUCAGGAUCCGAUUGGAAGUCUCAGUGGCAGAUUUCAUAAUUAAAGAGGAAUUAGAGGACGGAGAUUAAGAAAUACCUGCUAACUCAUCUUCAUCCCAUUCCUCAAAGGACAUCGACGCAGGCUUCGGGUUGGACGGCGAGAUGUAACUUGAGUGGCCACUAAGGGAGGAAGACAGAGGUGUUGUGCGGCGGAGAUGGGUUCAUCGAGGUCAACAAAUUUGUCGAUAUCAUCGACGUCGAGAAUCAAAGUCAUAACACUCAAUAGUCAAUGGACUGUCCUGCAUUUGUUCAAAUGUUAUUGAUAUCAUAAUACAGUUUCUUGACAUACCCGAAGAAUGGUUAUUAUUUAGAAGAUUCAUCCCCAGCAAUUUAGUAAGAUUAUUAGCGGUACAGGCCCUUUCAAAGCUAUAGAUGACUACUGUAAUGUGAGAACCUUCGAUUGUAUUCCGCAAUGGGCAAUACAUGAAACACUUCUGAAGAAUUCCGCUAAUAUAUUAUUUAACUAGCUAAUAAAAUCAGAAAGUAUCAUAUUACAUUAAAGAGCAAAGAAAAGGGCAGCCUGGUGCACUAAGCAUCCCACAUUCAUGCAAGGUUCGGGGAACAACCGCACCCCUAAGGGAUGUGAUGUCGGAAUGUUACCCUGAUGCAGCAUCAGUGGCUGAUUCCACAGAUCGAACUCGUGACCUAUAGGUCACACGGAGACAACUUUAUAUUACUCUAAGGCUACCCUUCAGAUUUUUACUGCAGACAUGGAGCAAGCUAACACAACUUGUAACAUGAAUGGAGUAUAUAUCUCACUGAUGAUUUGGAUUUGAAAGCUUAUCCAUUUCUAGAUCUAAACUCAACUUAUAUGAUGUAGACCUGACACAGGGAAAAUACAUUACUGUUGACUAGGACAAAGAUCUUUUGAACUCAAGUAGAUAUAUAUCUGUGGAUUCAAUCUAGAAAAUUCAUAACCCCCCCACCAUAAAGGCCAUAAUAUCAUAUAAGACUUUCUUAAGGUAACUAGCUAAUUUAUGCAGAUUGCUGUCUUGAAUCGCACCGAAUACAUGACACUCGUGCAAAACAAAACAUUUGUAGGACACCGAAUACACUUAACCUUUCUCGACGUAAAAAUCAUUAAUAUACAAUAAUAGACAAUUUUAUUUACUCUGCAAUUGAAUCAUAAUGUGUGGCGAAUACAAUGUGCAUCAUAUGAACUUAUCCAGAAUAUAUUAUGUAAGCAUUCUGAAGCAAAUUGGUACACAUACCCAAGGUUGCCAACGCCGUUAAUAGGCUUCAGAAGUUGCAAUUGAUGUUGUUGUACCUCCCUACUGAGGUUCAAUUUGCUACAAGGGCUGCACAUGACCACCCUCCAUCACUAUUGCUGCAGUAAUUGGGGUUCCAUUUCCCUCAAUUAACCGCCACAUAUACCGUGCCCCAAUCGAUCGGUAUAGCCUUCAUUUCCCACACAAUUGUUCCAUUUGCGACGGUCUUGGCAAUUCCUCUAACCCAUACAACAUUCUCACUCCUUCCAACAUAGAAAGGCCUUGGCACAUUUCGCUAGCACACAAUCAGAGUAUAUAUCUCACAAAAGUCACAAGAAAGAAAUAUUAUACUAUAUCAAAAACAAAAUAUCUCAACCGUAUAAUUCGAUAUCAAUCUCGGUCUUUCAAUGUCAAGCUCCAGUUCAGGUUUCAAAUCAGGAUCCGAUUGGAAGUCUCAGUGGCAGAUUUCAUAAUUAAAGAGGAAUUAGAGGACGGAGAUUAAGAAAUACCUGCUAACUCAUCUUCAUCCCAUUCCUCAAAGGACAUCGACGCAGGCUUCGGGUUGGACGGCGA